RNAcentral lists this ribosomal RNA (269 nucleotides) under uncultured prokaryote. Its description in RNAcentral is "partial 16S ribosomal RNA". It matches the Rfam family "Bacterial small subunit ribosomal RNA", at positions 524 to 792 of the family's 1533-position model. The record is from RNAcentral.
UACGUAGGGGGCAAGCGUUAUCCGGAUUUACUGGGUGUAAAGGGAGCGCAGACGGCAGUGCAAGUCUGAUGUGAAAGCCCGGGGCUCAACCCCGGAACUGCAUUGGAAACUGUACAGCUUGAGUGUCGGAGAGGUAAGCGGAAUUCCUAGUGUAGCGGUGAAAUGCGUAGAUAUUAGGAGGAACAUCAGUGGCGAAGGCGGCUUACUGGACUGUAACUGACACUGAGGCUCGAAAGCGUGGGGAGCAAACAGGAUUAGAUACCCGUGUA